AGAAAGCCCCCGAUCGACAACCGCUCGUCUCUCUCCAAUUCCAUCCCCGACCUGUCCUCUCACAGCCGCGACACGAAGUGCGCCGCCAUUCCGCCGCACGGUGCAGUCCCCCACCCCCUCCCCGCGCUGGAACGACGCCUGCAUUCCUCGCCCACGUGGGCCACCAGCGAGAGAGAGUGGAUCCAGGCGCUUGCGAUACGGCCGACGCGAUCCACCAGCGAGAGAGAGGGGAUCCAGGCGCUUGUGAUUCGGCCGACGCGGGUUCUGCAAGGGAUCUAAUCGGCAUGAUGAGAAAUUACAUCGGCAAGGAUAAUUCAUUGACCUGAAUUACCAUUGUUUCUCGAACAAUGAGAGAUGGGUGGAGGUACAUACACACGGUCGCCGAUGCAUAUAUAUAUAGACACACACACAUACACAUGCGAAGCUUACAACUGGAUCCGGCCUCCGUCUGCCGCGUCAAUCUCUGUGUUUUUUAUGAAUAAAUGUGUGUCAUCCUGUCGAUCAACAUGGACGUGCACUUCGAGCAGAGAUGAAACUCUACAUGAGAUUUCCUAUCUUCCAGGAAGUGAUCCAGCAUGGGCAAACUGAUCUGGAUGGUGGAAGCUAGGUGGUAAGGUAUCGGGAAGAGGUACCUCCAGAAUCAUCGGUGACGGCGCUCGUUCGAGGGGGGCAAGUUGCUGAACGUGGUGCAAACUACAGCGACAAAGCGCCCACGGAGUCAGGUGAAUUUGCUGUGAAGUCGGAUACGAAAGCUCUUGAUGGACUAAGAGGUAAUUAGUUUACUUUGGUAAGAACUAGAACGGUUCGUCCAUUGGCAUGUGCCUGAAUGUUCUUUAAAUUCCUUGAACUUAAUCAUAGUGUGAAAAUGGUGAUGGUCGAUAUGUAAUGCAUUCUGAUGUAGUUGAACAAGUGGGUUGCUUUAGCUCAAGGAAUUAAGCACUGUGCGGUGCCGUGGGAAAGCAUCUGCACUAUGCCAUCAAAAUCAUGAUUUCGGAAUGUGCCAUGCUUGCUGUUUCAAUUUUUUCCGGUUUGCCAUGGCACAGUAGGGGAGCUGACUUUCUCUCGGAUGAGUUUGAUUUCCUACCUUACUGAAAUGCAGUGAAACCAAAAUGUUUGCACUUUGGCAUGGUAGGGGAGCUGACUUUCAUGAAGAAGCAAAACUUUGUGGAAAUCAAAAUGCAGGUAUGCCCAAAGAAUUAACAUACUUUAUCAAUUUCUCUUAUUCUGAGUUCAAUCGCCAAAUGAUUAUUUGUUAUAAUACAUACACAAUCAUCAAAUAUUCCAAUUGUUGAAUCAUGAGCUAUUCCAAGCCGUCUUGAUUAGUGUCAUUUUCUACUGGUUCUCUUAUGGCAUGUUAAUUAUCAAGCAAAUCCAAUUCAAUUACUUCCCGCAAUGUUGGAUAUAUAGGCAUAUUAGCAAUGAUACAUCUAUCCAACAUCAAGAUUUCUACUUUUGGACCCGUAGAGAGUUUUACUUGUGGUUGUAUGAUCUGAUUGCAUUUAUUCAAUACCCAGUUCAUCCUUCCCGUAACACUACUCUUCAUAUGUAUUGAUUUUCCUAGCCCAUUCCAAUAACUAAACUUCAUCUGAAUAUCAAGUUUUACUGAUUAAGUUCUACUCUUAAGAAACGGGUUAUGCAUAGGGAAGUGGCAUGCAGGUGUUACUAAAUACAGAAAAACAUGUUGUUCCCAUGCACUUUUAAUUUGUCUCCAAUCCGACCAAAUAGUAUCUCCUGUUUAUCCAGAUCUUGCAAAGACUAAAGGAUAUUGAAUGUUUGCUAAAUGAGUAAUCCUACUUUAUAUGCUUCUUCGGAACCUCCUACAGAGGUUUGCCAUGAGCAUAGGGCAUUGCUGCAUCUUAUUUGGAUGUGCACUAAUUUAUAGAUAGUACCCUUUAUGUUGCAUCUUAAGUUUAGUCCAGUUUUAGCUGUCAACUCAUCUCAUAUGUUCAUCUUCCUGUUCAUCCGAUUCAAUGAGAGACGGAUGCUGCUGCGACCUUAAGUGCCGAUUAUCUCUGUACAUACACCGAACCAACAAAGGAUGUCAUUUAUUCUGUAGCUUUCCUGGGUAAGAAGAAUAAUGUACACUCAUCUUUGCAUAGUUUUCAAAUAGUUGAGUUUGCGAUGUGCAUGACCAAGUGAGGCUACACGGCUCACUAAGUACUAUUUUUGCAGUGUCUUGGACCGUUAUUUAUACUAAAAAAUGUAUUUGUAUUGAUGGCACGGUUGCAUUUUGGUUCUAUAUGUUCCAUUGAUAUUUUUUUCCUAUACAGAUGUACAAGGCUCAAGAAUUGAGACUUGAGAAUAUCAAAUGCGCCAAUGGUUGAAAGAGCUCAUCCGUCCACUGAGAGCGUUGCCGCUUUACACAUGCCAUUUAUUAAUCCAUUUGCUUCUUAGUCGCACUAGAUACUGUUUGUCAUAUAUUUUAGACAAAUCUCUGAAUCUGGCGGCACUAAAGUAUGAAAUUUCUAACAUUACCAAGUCAUAAGCUGUAAUUAGUUCCUUAUUAUGUUUCUUGCAUCUAUAUAUUAUCAUCAAUUCCUAUCAUUUUAUCGUCAAAAUAGAUUGGCGCGGCAACAUGUAUCACCCAUGUUCUCUGUGUCUAGACAAAUCUAAGACAACUAAUUUGGGAUGGAGGUCGUAUAACUUUGUAUCAUCUGCUAUCCAGUUAUUGCAAGUUUGAUGUGUGAA
This is a long non-coding RNA of Triticum aestivum (bread wheat), 2688 nucleotides long. RefSeq lists it as uncharacterized. The transcript is spliced from 3 exons. Lineage: Eukaryota; Viridiplantae; Streptophyta; Magnoliopsida; Poales; Poaceae. The record is from RefSeq and is a predicted model, not a curated record.